This 301-nucleotide ribosomal RNA is filed under the name uncultured bacterium. Its description in RNAcentral is "partial 16S ribosomal RNA". It matches the Rfam family "Bacterial small subunit ribosomal RNA", at positions 509 to 808 of the family's 1533-position model. The record is from RNAcentral.
CAGCAGCCGCGGUAAUGCGGAGGGUGCGAGCGUUAAUCGGAAUAACUGGGCGUAAAGGGCACGCAGGCGGUGACUUAAGUGAGGUGUGAAAGCCCCGGGCUUAACCUGGGAAUUGCAUUUCAUACUGGGUCGCUAGAGUACUUUAGGGAGGGGUAGAAUUCCACGUGUAGCGGUGAAAUGCGUAGAGAUGUGGAGGAAUACCGAAGGCGAAGGCAGCUCCUUGGGAAUGUACUGACGCUCAUGUGCGAAAGCGUGGGAGCAAACAGGAUUAGAUACCCGCGUAGUCCCUGUCUCUUAUACA